RNAcentral lists this transfer RNA (78 nucleotides) under Methanobacteriota archaeon. RNAcentral describes it as "Euryarchaeota archaeon tRNA-Met". It matches the Rfam family "tRNA". From Rfam's summary of the family: Transfer RNA (tRNA) molecules are approximately 80 nucleotides in length. Their secondary structure includes four short double-helical elements and three loops (D, anti-codon, and T loops). RNAcentral also lists the same sequence under 2 other names. The record is from RNAcentral. Lineage: Archaea; Methanobacteriati; Methanobacteriota.
AGCGGGAUAGGUUAGCAUGGUUCGACCGACGGGCUCAUAACCCGUAGAUCGAUGGUUCAAAUCCAUCUCCCGCUACCA